UACAGAGGGUGCGAGCGUUGUUCGGAAUUAUUGGGCGUAAAGGGCGCGUAGGCGGUGCGGUAAGUCACCUGUGAAAUCUCCUGGCUCAACCCGGGAACUGCGUCCGAUACUGGCAGGCUUGAAUCCGGGAGAGGGAUGUGGAAUUCCAGGUGUAGCGGUGAAAUGCGUAGAUAUCUGGAGGAACACCGGUGGCGAAGGCGGCAUCCUGGACCGGCAUUGACGCUGAGGCGCGAAAGCCAGGGGAGCAAACGGGG
RNAcentral lists this ribosomal RNA (254 nucleotides) under uncultured bacterium. RNAcentral's name for it is "partial 16S ribosomal RNA". It matches the Rfam family "Bacterial small subunit ribosomal RNA", at positions 524 to 777 of the family's 1533-position model. The record is from RNAcentral.